GAUGAAGAACGUAGCAAAAUGCGAUAAGUAAUGUGAAUUGCAGAAUUCAGUGAAUCAUCGAAUCUUUGAACGCACAUUGCGCCCGCCGGUAUUCCGGCGGGCAUGCCUGUUCGAGCGUCAUUUCAACCCUCAAGCCCCCGGGUUUGGUGUUGGGGAUCGGCUCUGCCCUUCUGGGCGGUGCCGCCCCCGAAAUACAUUGGCGGUCUCGCUGCAGCCUCCAUUGCGUAGUAGCUAACACCUCGCAACUGGAACGCGGCGCGGCCAUGCCGUAAAACCCCAACUUCUGAAUGUUGACCUCGGAUCAGGUAGGAAUACCCGCUGAACUUAAGCAUAUCAAUAAGCGGAGGA
This 348-nucleotide unclassified non-coding RNA is filed under the name soil metagenome. RNAcentral describes it as "partial contains 5.8S ribosomal RNA, internal transcribed spacer 2, and large subunit ribosomal RNA". The stretch from base 1 to 120 matches the Rfam family "5.8S ribosomal RNA", at positions 35 to 154 of the family's 154-position model. The record is from RNAcentral.